This 255-nucleotide ribosomal RNA is filed under the name uncultured bacterium. RNAcentral describes it as "partial 16S ribosomal RNA". It matches the Rfam family "Bacterial small subunit ribosomal RNA", at positions 524 to 777 of the family's 1533-position model. The record is from RNAcentral.
UACGUAGGGUGCAAGCGUUGUCCGGAAUCAUUGGGCGUAAAGCGCGCGUAGGUGGCUUCGUAAGUCCGUUGUGAAAGUCAAAGGCUCAACCUUUGAAUGUCGAUGGAUACUGCGAAGCUAGAGUACGGAAGAGGCGAGUGGAAUUCCUGGUGUAGCGGUGGAAUGCGCAGAUAUCAGGAGGAACACCGGUGGCGAAGGCGGGUCUCUGGGCCGUUACUGGACGCUGGAGGAGCGAAAGCUGGGGAGCGAACAGGA